Molecule: unclassified non-coding RNA, 355 nt
Filed under: soil metagenome
Description: partial contains 5.8S ribosomal RNA, internal transcribed spacer 2, and large subunit ribosomal RNA
Rfam family: 5.8S ribosomal RNA (bases 1-120)
Source: RNAcentral
GAUGAAGAACGCAGCGAAAUGCGAUAAGUAAUGUGAAUUGCAGAAUUCAGUGAAUCAUCGAAUCUUUGAACGCACAUUGCGCCCGCCAGUAUUCUGGCGGGCAUGCCUGUCCGAGCGUCAUUUCAACCCUCGAACCCCUCCGGGGGGUCGGCGUUGGGGAUCGGCCCUGCCUCUUGGCGGUGGCCGUCUCCGAAAUACAGUGGCGGUCUCGCCGCAGCCUCUCCUGCGCAGUAGUUUGCACACUCGCAUCGGGAGCGCGGCGCGUCCACAGCCGUUAAACACCCAACUUCUGAAAUGUUGACCUCGGAUCAGGUAGGAAUACCCGCUGAACUUAAGCAUAUCAAUAAGAGGAGGA